Molecule: ribosomal RNA, 830 nt
Filed under: uncultured Planctomycetota bacterium
Lineage: Bacteria; Pseudomonadati; Planctomycetota
Description: bacterial SSU rRNA
Rfam family: Bacterial small subunit ribosomal RNA
Source: RNAcentral
AAGGGUGAGUAAUGCAUGGGCAACCUGCCCUCAGGACGGGGAUAGCAGCGUCCGCUUCGGCGGGCUUUAGCGAAAGUGCUGGUAAUACCCGAUGAUGUCGCGAGAUCGCAUGAUGUUGCGACCAAAUGGUGGGACCUUCGGGUUUCCGCCUGAGGAGGGGCUCAUGUCCUAUUAGCUUGUUGGUGAGGUAACGGCUCACCAAGGCAUCGAUGGGUAGCCGGUCUGAGAGGAUGAUCGGCCACACUGGGACUGAGACACUGCCCAGACUCCUACGGGAGGCUGCAGUCGAGAAUCUUCCGCAAUGCGCGAAAGCGUGACGGAGCGACGCCGCGUGGAGGACGAAGGCCUUCGGGUUGUAAACUCCUAACAGAGGGUAUGAAGGUGCCUGUCGACCCACUUCGGGCACUUGACGUCAACCUCAAAUGAAGCUCCGGCUAACUACGUGCCAGCAGCCGCGGUAAUACGUAGGGAGCGAGCGUUGUUCGGAAUCACUGGGCAUAAAGGGUGCGUAGGCGGUUCGAUGUGUCCGUUGUGAAAUCCCCCGGCUCACCCGGGGAACUGCGGCGGAAACUGUCGGGCUUGAGGACAGGAGGGGAGAGUGGAACUCUAGGUGGAGCGGUGAAAUGCGUUGAUAUCUAGAGGAACGCCGGUGGCGAAAGCGGCUCUCUGGUCUGUCUCUGACGCUGAUGCACGAAAGCUAGGGUAGCGAACGGGAUUAGAUACCCCGGUAGUCCUAGCCGUAAACGAUGGGCACUAGUGGAGGGGGAUUCAACGCCUUCUCUGUCGAAGCUAAUGUGAUAAGUGCCCCGCCUGGGGAGUAUGGUCGCAAG